UACGAAGGGAGCUAGCGUUGUUCGGAAUAACUGGGCGUAAAGGGUGCGUAGGCGGCGCGGUAAGUCGGGUGUGAAAUCUCGGAGCUUAACUUCGAAACUGCAUUCGAUACUGCCGUGCUUGAGGACUGGAGAGGAGACUGGAAUUUACGGUGUAGCGGUGAAAUGCGUAGAUAUCGUAAGGAAGACCAGUGGCGAAGGCGGGUCUCUGGACAGUUCCUGACGCUGAGGCACGAAGGCCAGGGGAGCAAACGGG
Molecule: ribosomal RNA, 253 nt
Filed under: uncultured bacterium
Lineage: Bacteria
Description: partial 16S ribosomal RNA
Rfam family: Bacterial small subunit ribosomal RNA
Source: RNAcentral